GCUUAUGGCCAUACCAGCCUGGAUAUGCCCGAUCUUGUCUGAUCUCGUAAGCUAAGCAGGUUUGGGCCUGGUUAGUGCCUGGAUGGGAGACCGCCUGGGAAUACCAUGUACUCUAAGCU
Ribosomal RNA from Carassius auratus (goldfish), 119 nucleotides. The record is from Ensembl. NCBI's taxonomy places the organism in Eukaryota, Metazoa, Chordata, Actinopteri, Cypriniformes, Cyprinidae.